This is an RNA transcript of Acromyrmex echinatior (Panamanian leafcutter ant), 317 nucleotides long. It is a transcript of the gene named odorant receptor 94a-like, with no coding region annotated. The record is from RefSeq and is a predicted model, not a curated record. NCBI's taxonomy places the organism in Eukaryota, Metazoa, Arthropoda, Insecta, Hymenoptera, Formicidae.
UGGCUCAAUUCUAAUCUCGAUUGUCAUGUAAGAACGAAUGUUAUUCUGAUGAUGAUGCAAAAGCCAAUGACUAUAAAUGCAGUUUUUUCUCCCAUCAAUGUAACUAUGUUUACCAAUUUCGUGAAUACUACAAUGUCCUAUUUUUUCCUGUUGCAAUCUAUGGAAUAAGGACAGAGAUAAGAUGGAUAAAAAUGUAUAACGUUAGAAAUGGACACUAUAUCAUAUUUGGAUGCGAGUAUGAUUUCUCUGUAAGUAGCAGUCCGCCGCGAAUGUGCACUUUGCGUAGAAAGAAUGAAAUAUAUGAAUAAAUAAUGUUA